RNAcentral lists this unclassified non-coding RNA (339 nucleotides) under soil metagenome. RNAcentral's name for it is "partial contains 5.8S ribosomal RNA, internal transcribed spacer 2, and large subunit ribosomal RNA". The stretch from base 1 to 120 matches the Rfam family "5.8S ribosomal RNA", at positions 35 to 154 of the family's 154-position model. The record is from RNAcentral.
GAUGAAGAACGUAGUGAAAUGCGAUACGUAGUGUGAAUUGCAGAAUUCAGUGAAUCAUCGAAUCUUUGAACGCACAUUGCACCUCUCGGUAUUCCGGGAGGUAUGCCUGUUCGAGCGUCAUUUGUACCCUCAAGCUCUGCUUGGUGUUGGGUGUUUGUUCCGCCUCUGUGUGUGAACUCGCCUCAAAACAAUUGGCAGCCGGCGUACUUGUUUCGGAGCGCAGCACAUUUUGCGAUCCAGAUCAACGUACAGCGGCAUCCAAGAAGCCUUAUUUAACGCUCUUGACCUCGGAUCAGGUAGGGAUACCCGCUGAACUUAAGCAUAUCAAUAAGCGGACGA